CGGCGAGGCAGCGCCGGGGUGGCGACGGGGUCUCGGCCACUGACCACGCAUUUCUUGCCGAGGAAGGUGAAGAGGGACUCGUUCUCCUGUGGGUAAUCAUGCGAUAUGAGCUUGUUUUCAACUCCAACAUGCCAAAGACUGAGCACACCAAUAACCUGAGAAACUUUAGUUAUGUAACAUCUUGGUAGAAUUUACUGCUUUCUCCGUGGAAGACUCUUCGCCAUGAAUUCAUGUGAUGUCUGCCUCUGGCACUACUAGAGAUUGAACUCGGGACUUUGCACUUGCCAGAUGGCAUGUGGCCCAGGUCAGGACAAGGAAAGAAUUCUGCCCUGCAACUUGAGUUUCAAAAGAAGUUAUUCUGGAAGAAAAAAAUCAAUUGUUCACUCUGGUGAUGGAGAGCUGAGGAGAUUGCCCAUGAGUUCCUUUUGGCGUGGUCCUAAGCAGAAUUAUACAAAAUUAAUGUAAAGCCAGACUCUGCCUGAUAAAAGCCACAUGGGCCUCUUCUGCCUCAAAUCAGAAGCAACUGUAGCAGGGUGAGCAGACCAAGGGCGACCUACCGAGAGCCGCAGUGCAGGUGGCGAGCUGGGGCUGAAGACAGGCCAGAACACAUGCGUGAGAAUGAACCGAAGACCCAAACUAUUGGUGAUAUCUACUGAGACCCACUCGUUGCCUUGAUUUGGUAACUUCAUUUUCUAUGUAAUUAAAACUUAUAGCCCUUCUGUAGGGGGUUUCAUGACAGUAUAAUCUGUUCUUGUUUAAGAAGCUCUUGGCAGUCUGUAGGGAUUUUUUUUCCCCUAUAAUUCUUGUUCAGAUUUAUUCUUCAAUUUUUUGAAUUUAUUGUCAGUUAACAAAUUUUUGCCUCCAUGUAGAAGAAUGCCUGUGUUUUCCUCUUGUAUGAAUACUUGUUUGUGAACUCACAUAGAAGAGAAUCAUAUCAGUUCUGAUUUAUCAGAUUUGAGCCUAGUUUGACAUAUUUAAAAACUAAAUAUUUAUAAAUUCUAUUGAUUCUUAUCUAUUUUUACAUAAUGUUUGAUGUUAUUCUAAUUCACUGCUUCUUUCCUG
Molecule: long non-coding RNA, 1062 nt
Organism: Octodon degus (degu)
Lineage: Eukaryota; Metazoa; Chordata; Mammalia; Rodentia; Octodontidae
Exons: 5
Source: RefSeq, a predicted model, not a curated record